This 811-nucleotide long non-coding RNA is filed under the name Ananas comosus (pineapple). RNAcentral describes it as "long non-coding RNA (ACOM_LNC017319)". Lineage: Eukaryota; Viridiplantae; Streptophyta; Magnoliopsida; Poales; Bromeliaceae. The record is from RNAcentral.
UACGUUGGAAUGCCAACGGGUCGGGUUUGGAUCGAAUUUUUAAAAAUCUAAACCCGAACUCGAAAACCAAAUUAAAAUUCGAAUCCAGAUCCGAACCCGGCGGGUUUUAGAAAUCCAUAUCUAUAUUCGUCCUCGACCAAAAACUCGAAACUUGAAACCACAUAGUUUUAAAAGUGCAUACCGUUGGAUAAAGAUUUAACGAAUAGAAAUUAUUAAAUAUUUUAUAUAUUGUAUAAAAAAUAAAUAAAUAAAUAAAUAUAUAUAUAUAUAUAUAUAUAUAUAUAUAUAUAUAUUAUAUAGAACUAGGCUAAUAUACUAUUAAUAGCAUCAAGUCACUGGUGCUACCAAGUUUUUGGCCAUUGAAUUAAGAGAUGUGUGGUUAGGAUGAUGUGGGCCUCCUAGGGUUGAGUGGGUGGUUGGUUGAAUAGUAUGAUCUAACGGGUGAAAAUGAUCAAAAGGGUAGAUCUAACGGCGGAAAACUUGGUAGCACCAAGUGCUUCGUGCUAUUAAUAGCAUAGUAGCCGGACUAUAUAUAUAUAUAUAUAUAUAAAAUUUAUUCCGGUUCGGGCUGGGUUUGGAUUCAGGUUGGUUAAAUACAAAAUCCAUACCCGUAUUUCUAUCCGUCGGGUUUUUAUUUUCUAUACCCAUAAAUGAAUCCUUAUCCGUUUAGCUCAGAUAAACUCGCCCCGUUCGUGUUCGGAUAAUAUUUCGGUUUCCAUACCCAUUCACAUCCCUAUUAAUUUGUACACACAUAUAAAUAAAUAAAUAAAUAAAUAAAACUAGAUUUAAUCACUAAGCUAUUAUAUUAUCU